UGCAUAUCAAUAAGCGGAGGWAAAGAAAYUAACAAGGAUUCCCCUAGUAACUGCGAGUGAAGCGGGAAAAGCUCAAAUUUGAAAUCUGGCGGUCUUUGGCCGUCCGAGUUGUAAUCUGGAGAAGCGUUUUCCGCGUUGGACCGUGUACAAGUCUCUUGGAACAGAGCGUCAUAGAGGGUGAGAAUCCCGUCCAUGGCACGGACUACCAAUGCUAUGUGAUACGCUCUCGAAGAGUCGAGUUGUUUGGGAAUGCAGCUCAAAAUGGGUGGUAAAUUCCAUCUAAAGCUAAAUAUUGGCGAGAGACCGAUAGCGAACAAGUACCGUGAGGGAAAGAUGAAAAGCACUUUGGAAAGAGAGUUAAACAGUACGUGAAAUUGUUGAAAGGGAAACGCUUGAAGUCAGUCGCGUCGGGCGGGACUCAGCCUUGCUUUUGCUUGGUGUACUUCCUGUCAGACGGGUCAACAUCGAUUUUGGUCGGCGGAUAAAGGCUUGAGGAAUGUGGCACCCUUCGGGGUGUGUUAUAGACUCUUGUCGCAUACGUCGACCGGGAUUGAGGACCGCAGCGCGCCCUUACGGGCCGGGGGUUCRCCCCACGUACCGCGCUUAGGAKGUUGGCAUAAURGCUUUAAGCRACCCGUCUUGAAACACGGACCA
This 654-nucleotide ribosomal RNA is filed under the name Kneiffiella pilaecystidiata. Its description in RNAcentral is "partial large subunit ribosomal RNA". The record is from RNAcentral. Lineage: Eukaryota; Fungi; Basidiomycota; Agaricomycetes; Hymenochaetales.